GCCUGGCCUGAGCCCCUGGAGGCCCGGACUCUUGGCUCAGCGGCCCCAGGGGCCCCGUCCUGCUCUGCGGUCACCAGCAGCAGGAGGGGAUGAAGCUGGCCUAAAGCCAAGGGUGGUGACGUCAGCGAUCACAUUCGUGCGGUGUCAGACCCCUUCAGGGGGAGCCUCGAGCAGCGUGCGAGCUCCAGCUCAUAAAGCCUUUUCAGCAGCACUCAGAGCGCCAGUUCCUGAUAAGCCAGAGGCCCAGGGCCGCGGGUCUGGGAGCUCAGCUCUGAGGAGCAUCCACAGGACUCGCCGCAGUGGCUCAGCGUUCUUUGAGGCUGUCCAAGCCUGACUUUCAGACCAGAAGCAAGGCUGUCACACAAAUAUAAAAUGAAUUUGUAUCAACGAUUUAUGAGCUCAUUAACACAGGGGCCAAAGAGAGGGUGCAGCAGUCUGAGGAUCAGGACGGGUGAGUUAGAGGUGACACAGGCCAGGGUCCCACAGGCAAGAGAGCUGUGACCCCGGGGGGCGCCUCCUGCCGCUUGCAAGCCUCCGAGUUAACAUAACGUCACAAAGUCCGGACUCUUAAUUAAAGGAAAGAGCAAAGUUCACGGCACGUUCCCGGCUAAGAACACUUCUUGCAUGCCCUUGAAUAAUGCCCCAAGAUGACUUAAAGAGGAUAGCCUUUUCUUUUUCAACCUUUAAAUAAUUUUCCUUUUAAAAAGAUACAAAUAAAUGGAAAGAUAUUCCACACUCAUGGACUGGGAGGACUUGUGUGGUUAAAAUGUCCAUGCUACCCAAAGCAAUCUGCAGACUCAGUACAAUCGCAAUGGCAUUUUCCGUAGAAAUAGAACCGGCAGGGUCUGCCUUGGCCCAGUGGUUAAGACUGUGCUGGCACCGCAGGGGCCCCGGGUCCUGUCCCUGGUCGGGGAGCUAAGAUCCCACAG
Molecule: long non-coding RNA, 929 nt
Filed under: Capra hircus (goat)
Lineage: Eukaryota; Metazoa; Chordata; Mammalia; Artiodactyla; Bovidae
Description: lncRNA (ENSCHIG00000005025.1)
Source: RNAcentral